GUGCCAGCAGCCGCGGUAAUACGGAAGGUCCGGGCGUUAUCCGGAUUUAUUGGGUUUAAAGGGAGCGUAGGCCGUCGUUUAAGCGUGUUGUGAAAUGUAGGCGCCCAACGUCUGCACUGCAGCGCGAACUGGAUGACUUGAGUACGCGGGAAGCAGGCGGAAUUCGUCGUGUAGCGGUGAAAUGCUUAGAUAUGACGAAGAACUCCGAUUGCGAAGGCAGCCUGCUGUAGCGCCACUGACGCUGAUGCUCGAAAGCGUGGGUAUCGAACAGGAUUAGAUACCCUGGUAGUCCACGCGGUAAACGAUGGAUGCUCGCUGUGUGCCUUUGAGGUACGUGGCCAAGGGAAACCAUUAAGCAUCCCACCUGGGGAGUACGCCGGCAACGGUGAAACUCAAAGGAAUUGACGGGGGCCCGCACAAGCGGAGGAACAUGUGGUUUAAUUCGAUGAUACGCGAGGAACCUUACCCGGGCUUGAACUGCCAGCGAACGAUUCAGAGAUGAUGAGGCCCUUCGGGGCGCUGGUGGAGGUGCUGCAUGGUUGUCGUCAGCUCGUGCCGUGAGGUGUCGGCUUAAGUGCCAUAACGAGCGCAACCCCUUUCGUUAGUUGCCAUCAGGUGAAGCUGGGCACUCUGGCGAUACUGCCACCGUAAGGUGUGAGGAAGGUGGGGAUGACGUCAAAUCAGCACGGCCCUUACGUCCGGGGCUACACACGUGUUACAAUGGCGCAUACAGAGAGCCGGUCUCAUGCAAAUGAGACCCAAUCAAUAAAGUGCGUCGUAGUUCGGACUGGGUCUGCAACCCGACCCCACGAAGCUGGAUUCGCUAGUAAUCGCGCAUCAGCCAUGGCGCGGUGAAUACGUUCCCGGGCCUUGUACACACCGCCCGU
RNAcentral lists this ribosomal RNA (887 nucleotides) under uncultured rumen bacterium. RNAcentral describes it as "bacterial SSU rRNA". It matches the Rfam family "Bacterial small subunit ribosomal RNA", at positions 505 to 1397 of the family's 1533-position model. The record is from RNAcentral.